UCGUCCCACCAAACCUCCUCAACUCCGCCGCCGCUCUGCUCCUUCCAACUUCAAAGCCUUGGCAAUCUCCGCGCCGCAAACCCUAGCCGCCGCCAUGGCCUUCCUCGCUCCCGCCUCCCUCCGCGCCCCCAUCUACGUAGUCGCCGCCGCCUCCGGACGCCGCUCCGUGCUCCCCGCGGCCGUCAAAGCCACGGCCAGCUCCGGCUCCGCCACCUCUCCGCACCCCAUCCUCUCCUCCCUCCGCAUGGCCGCCUCCGCUGCCGUCCUCCUCGCCGCCACCUCCCCGGCCCUCGCGUGCACCCCCUCCGCGCCUCCGCCCCCGCCCGCUCCCCUAACGGCCGCGGUCCACCCCGACGACCCCAUCCAGGACGCCUCCCACCCGUUCGAGAAGCUCAUCGUCGAGUCCGCCGCGCUCGCGCGCGCCGGCAGAGCGGAGGCUGC
Molecule: long non-coding RNA, 441 nt
Filed under: Setaria italica (foxtail millet)
Lineage: Eukaryota; Viridiplantae; Streptophyta; Magnoliopsida; Poales; Poaceae
Description: long non-coding RNA (SITA_LNC000632)
Source: RNAcentral